RNAcentral lists this ribosomal RNA (454 nucleotides) under uncultured bacterium. RNAcentral's name for it is "bacterial SSU rRNA". It matches the Rfam family "Bacterial small subunit ribosomal RNA", at positions 340 to 786 of the family's 1533-position model. The record is from RNAcentral.
UACGGAAGGCAGCAGUGGGGAAUAUUGCACAAUGGGCGCAAGCCUGAUGCAGCCAUGCCGCGUGUAUGAAAAAGGCCUUCGGGUUGUAAAGUACUUUCAGUCGUGAGGAAGGUGUUAAGGUUAAUAACCUUAGCAAUUGACGUUAGCGACAGAAGAAGCACCGGCUAACUCCGUGCCAGCAGCCGCGGUAAUACGGAGGGUGCGAGCGUUAAUCGGAAUUACUGGGCGUAAAGGGCACGCAGGCGGUUAAUUAAGUUGGAUGUGAAAUCCCCGGGCUUAACCUGGGAAUGGCAUUCAAGACUGGUUAGCUAGAGUCUUGUAGAGGGGGUAGAAUUCCAUGUGUAGCGGUGAAAUGCGUAGAGAUGUGGAGGAAUACCGGUGGCGAAGGCGGCCCCUGGACAAAGACUGACGCUCAUGUGCGAAAGCGUGGGGAGCAAACAGGGACUUAGAUACC